Long non-coding RNA from Oreochromis aureus, 2655 nucleotides. The record is from Ensembl. NCBI's taxonomy places the organism in Eukaryota, Metazoa, Chordata, Actinopteri, Cichliformes, Cichlidae.
CUGUUCUUAUGGUGAGAGGUUCUGGUGCGAAUGGACCGGAGCCUCCUGCCUGAGGGGAGCAGGUCAAACAGACUGUGUCCAGGGUGAGAAGGGUCAGCUGUGAUCCGAGCUGCACGCCCCAGUGUCCUUGAGGUGUACAGGUCUUGCAGAGAUGGGAGUCUGCAGCCAAUCACCUUCUCAGCAGAGCGCACAACACACUGCACUCUCUGCUUGUCCUUGAUAGUGGCUCCAGCGUACCACACGGUGAUGGAGGAGUCCCCCAGGUGGAGGUGGAUUCAGGGGAGGCAUCUGUCCUGCUGCCCUGCAAAACUACUAUAAACCUGCUUAAAGAUGCUAAAGUGGAGUGGAUGACCAAAUUCAACAGGAAGGUCCACGUGUAUGAGACCGGAUCUGACCAGCUUGAAGAUCAGGACAACUAUUACAGAAACAGAACACUGAUGAAUAAAGACCUGCUGAAAACUGGAGACCUCAGUCUGACCCUGAAAUACCCCACAGACUGGGACACAGACAUCUACACCUGCACCGUCUACAACAGGGAGGGAAAAAUAAUCCUGAUGAAACAAGUGGAGCUGAAAGUCAGAGUCUGUCAGGUGGAGGUGGAGGAGGGGGCGGAGUCUGUCGAGCUACCUUUCAAAACCACAGAAGACCUGCCUGCAGAUGCUAAAGUGGUGUGGUGGAACAAUGAUGACAGGAAGGUUCACGUGUAUAAGAACGGCUCUGAUCAGCCUGGAGAACAGCACCAGGUUUACAGAGACCGAACGAAGAUGAAGAGAAGAUCUCUGCUGAAGCCUGGAGACCUCAGUCUGACCCUGGAACAGCCCACAGAGAGAGACAGCGGGAGGUACAGCUGUAGAGUCUACGGGGAGAUCAAGAGAUACAAAAGAGUGCUGCUCAUAGUCAAAGGGAGAGUUCAGGUCCAGGAUCAAACAGGGGACAUCAGGAGCAGAAGCAGCUCCAUUGAUCCGACUCCUCUGAUGGCUGAUCAAUCAGUUUGAUCUGUGUGUUCUUUGAUUAUUGAUCAGUGAUGUCAGAGUGGAGUCAGUGUGAUGUUGUUGUUGUGUGUUUGAGACUUUUAGUGUCCAUGAAGGUCUCUGCUGCCGUAGAUCCUCUGAACUGUGACAGAGGUCUCACUCUGGAGGAAACUCUCAGCACUUUCCAGCAGCUCCUCCAUCAUGGAGGACGUUCCCUCACUGUAACAGGUGGAGGAGAGAGGAGAGGAAGCACAGGUGGAUCCUCUGAGGAAGACAUUAAUGUUAUUACAUGAGUGGAAACAUCAUAGUAAAGAUAAAUCUCCAUGUGUACGAUCUCUGAGGCUCAAAUCAGUCCAGUCAGAUCUGUUGUCCCUUCUAUGUAGGGUUGCCAACUAUCCCGUUUUAUCUAGGAUGUCCCGUAAAAUGACCAACAUAGGUUUCUGCAGUAUUCUACCUUAAAUGUCCCGUAUAAUUACCGUUACCUGGAAUGUCAUUUUCUGACUAACAGCUGGCACUCUAACAAAUACCAAAACUGAUUUGACUGCAAUUACAUCAGAAGAGUACUUGUGUGCAGUCACAUCUGUCAGUGAUGCCCAUCACACACACCAGGUGUGAGGAGUAAUACACGAUUCUUAAAAAUAACGUGCUGUUUGGUCUGCGUAACAUAACAUACUGGGUAACUGAGACCUGUACUUACAAUAUUUUCUUUGAAUAUUUUUCUUUUUUGCUUAUUUUUCAAGGUAAUGCACAUGUGAUUUCUAUCAUCAUUUACUGUAUUUUCUUUAUUGAUUUAGAUGAGGUAUUGAUUAAACUGAAUACCAUUAUUUUACUGCAUUUUGACUGUAAGAAUAUGAACAUACAGUGCAUAUUUACACUGUGCCCAGCUGGCUGUGCAUUGUGCUUCUGCCACACCAGUGUCCCUUAUUUGAUAGUUACAAAGUUGGUGACCCUACCUCUACCUCAGUGUGAUUGUUUAUAUAAGACCUGCCCCGGCGCUAUAAAUGCAAGCAAUUUAAUUAUAAUCAGGCAGGUGUACUUAUCUUAUUUUUAUAAUAAUCCCCAUUAAUGUCCCUGUUCAGUCAAGAGAAUAAAAAUACCCUCUCUGAUCCACUGAGGUUUUUCUUCUGUGGUGUUUCUGACGUUUGAGGAUGAGACCAGAGUUCCUACAGCUUCAGGAAAGUUGGAUUUAAAACUUUAACAUCAGCUGUGUCCUUGUUAGCAAUAAGCUAACAUUUGUAGGCUAACGUGCUUGAACCUGCAUUCUUAUGUAUGAAGUUUGAAACACUUCCUACACAACCUACAACACACUGAGUCAGGAUACAGAGAUAUCCAGGUAACCUCUGUGCACCUCACUUCUUCAGAGGGUACAUCACCAUGGCUACAGAGUCUGCAGACCUAACAUGCUCUGGAGCAGAUUAUUUUUGAGAAUAGAGUUCAGCAGGAGUAUAACUAUCACCUGUGGCCAAUCAGAUCUCUGGAAUAUAUCAUCAUUAUUCCUGAAAAACCCCUCAGACCUCAGAAUGCUGAUGGUCAGAGAGAGAGAAGUUUUUAUCUGAUGAGCUUCAGUAAGAAAUACAGAUUAUUACAAACUUUUUGGGGAGAAUCUGUUUGUACUUACUGACUUCAUAUAAACAUUCAUAUAGACUUAAUUUUUAUAUUUCACUUUACUCUCAGAGUAUCAGAC